UUGACCUCAAAUCAGGUAGGACUACCCGCUGAACUUAAGCAUAUCAAUAAGCGGAGGAAAAGAAACUAACAAGGAUUCCCCUAGUAACUGCGAGUGAAGCGGGAAAAGCUCAAAUUUGAAAUCUGGCAGCUCUUUGAACUGUCUGAGUUGUAAUCUAGAGAAGUGUUACCUGUGUUGGACCGUGUACAAGUCUCCUGGAAUGGAGCGUCACAGAGGGUGAGAAUCCCGUCUUUGACACGGACUGCCUGCACGUUAUGGUGCGCUCUCAAAGAGUCGAGUUGUUUGGGAAUGCAGCUCAAAAUGGGUGGUAAAUGCCAUCUAAAGCUAAAUAUUGGCGAGAGACCGAUAGCGAACAAGUACCGUGAGGGAAAGAUGAAAAGAACUUUGGAAAGAGAGUUAAACAGUACGUGAAAUUGCUGAAAGGGAAACGCUUGAAGUCAGUCGCGUCGGCUAGAAAUCAACCUUGCUUUUGCUUGGUGUACUUUCUUGUUGACGGGUCAGCAUCAAUUUUGACCGUCGGAUAAAGUCAUUGGGAAUGUGGCAUCUUAGGAUGUGUUAUAGCCCAUUGUCGCAUACGACGGUUGGGAUUGAGGAACUCAGCACGCCCGCAAGGGACGGGUUUUUUGACCACGUUCGUGCUUAGGAUGCUGGCAUAAUGG
RNAcentral lists this ribosomal RNA (659 nucleotides) under Inocybe pudica. RNAcentral's name for it is "eukaryotic LSU rRNA". It matches the Rfam family "Eukaryotic large subunit ribosomal RNA", at positions 1 to 637 of the family's 3401-position model. The record is from RNAcentral. Lineage: Eukaryota; Fungi; Basidiomycota; Agaricomycetes; Agaricales; Inocybaceae.